RNAcentral lists this ribosomal RNA (253 nucleotides) under uncultured bacterium. Its description in RNAcentral is "partial 16S ribosomal RNA". It matches the Rfam family "Bacterial small subunit ribosomal RNA", at positions 524 to 776 of the family's 1533-position model. The record is from RNAcentral.
UACGUAGGGGGCUAGCGUUGUCCGGAUUUAUUGGGCGUAAAGAGCGUGUAGGCGGCUGGGUAGGUCCGUUGUGAAAACUCGAGGCUCAACCUCGAGACGCCGAUGGAAACCCUCCAGCUAGAGUCCGGAAGAGGAGAGUGGAAUUCCUGGUGUAGCGGUGAAAUGCGCAGAUAUCAGGAAGAACACCCGUGGCUAAGGCGGCUCUCUAGUACGGUACUGACGCUGAGACGCGAAAGCGUGGGGAGCGAACAGG